This 439-nucleotide ribosomal RNA is filed under the name uncultured bacterium. Its description in RNAcentral is "bacterial SSU rRNA". It matches the Rfam family "Bacterial small subunit ribosomal RNA", at positions 338 to 795 of the family's 1533-position model. The record is from RNAcentral.
CCUACGGGGCGCAGCAGUGGGGAAUAUCGGACAAUGGGCGAAAGCCUGAUCCAGCAAUGCCGCGUGUGUGAAGAAGGUCUUCGGAUUGUAAAGCACUUUCGACGGGGACGAUGAUGACGGUACCCGUAGAAGAAGCCCCGGCCAACUUCGUGCCAGCAGCCGCGGUAAUACGAAGGGGGCUAGCGUUGCUCGGAAUGACUGGGCGUAAAGGGCGCGUAGGCGGUUUAUGCAGUCAGAUGUGAAAUCCCCAGGCUUAACCUGGAACUGCAUUUGAGACGCAUAGACUAGAGGUCGAGAGAGGGUUGUGGAAUUCCCAGUGUAGAGGUGAAAUUCGUAGAUAUUGGGAAGAACACCGGUGGCGAAGGCGGCAACCUGGCUCGAUACUGACGCUGAGGCGCGAAAGCGUGGGGAGCAAACAGGAUUAGAUACCCCGGUAGUC